GACGUAGGGCGCGAGCGUUGUCCGGGUUUAUUGGGCGUAAAGAGCUCGUAGGCGGCUUGUCGCGUCGUUCGUGAAAACCUGCAGCUCAACUGCAGGCUUGCGGUCGAUACGGGCAGGCUAGAGUUCGGUAGGGGAGACUGGAAUUCCUGGUGUAGCGGUGAAAUGCGCAGAUAUCAGGAGGAACACCGGUGGCGAAGGCGGGUCUCUGGGCCGAUACUGACGCUGAGGAGCGAAAGCGUGGGGAGCGAACAGG
This 253-nucleotide ribosomal RNA is filed under the name uncultured bacterium. RNAcentral describes it as "partial 16S ribosomal RNA". It matches the Rfam family "Bacterial small subunit ribosomal RNA", at positions 524 to 776 of the family's 1533-position model. The record is from RNAcentral.